GACGAACGCUGGCGGCGUGCUUAACACAUGCAAGUCGAACGGAAAGGCCCUGCUUUUGUGGGGUGCUCGAGUGGCGAACGGGUGAGUAACACGUGAGUAACCUGCCCUUGACUUUGGGAUAACUUCAGGAAACUGGGGCUAAUACCGGAUAGGAGCUCCUGCUGCAUGGUGGGGGUUGGAAAGUUUCGGCGGUUGGGGAUGGACUCGCGGCUUAUCAGCUUGUUGGUGGGGUAGUGGCUUACCAAGGCUUUGACGGGUAGCCGGCCUGAGAGGGUGACCGGCCACAUUGGGACUGAGAUACGGCCCAGACUCCUACGGGAGGCAGCAGUAGGGAAUAUUGCACAAUGGGCGGAAGCCUAAUGCAGCAACGCCGCGUGCGGGAUGACGGCCUUCGGGUUGUAAACCGCUUUCGCCUGUGACGAAGCGUGAGUGACGGUAAUGGGUAAAGAAGCACCGGCUAACUACGUG
RNAcentral lists this ribosomal RNA (468 nucleotides) under uncultured bacterium. RNAcentral describes it as "partial 16S ribosomal RNA". It matches the Rfam family "Bacterial small subunit ribosomal RNA", at positions 28 to 507 of the family's 1533-position model. The record is from RNAcentral.